AGAAGAGUCUCCGAGUAAACCCUAGUUUGGUCUGUUAUGUGAAACUGCUUUGAGGAAGAAAUUUGCUGGUUGUUCCAUGGUUAAGAAAGAAUGCUUUGGUGAUGAACUCGAAGCACUUGGAAGAGGAGAGGAGCAGCCAAUGGUUGGUCGGACUUCACCUUCUAAACCCGCGCUUCUUUGCUGCUGCUGCGACUCCCUCUCGUUGCACUCCGAUCUUGCACUAGAUGGCGGUGCCCCGUCUUCUUCUCCACCUCGUCUACCCGACCUCGUCGUCCCUCCUCCUCGCCAACUGCAAGCCGUCGCCCCUACCUGUCCUCAACAUCGGCUGUAGAAGGAUCAGCACCGCCGCUGCGCAGCGCGCCCCCCCGUCGGAGGCCGCCGUCGAUGACUUCUGGCGGUGGGUUUGUGAGCGGGGAGUGGUCGCUGCCUCGUCCGCCGCGACCGUGAAGCCGGGCUUCGUGCCGGAGGGCCUGGGCCUCGUGGCCCAGAGGGACCUCCCCCGCAACGAGGUGGUGGUGGAGGUCCCCAAGAGGCUCUGGAUCGACUCCGACACGGCAGUCGCCUCCGAGAUCGGGAGGCUGUGCGCCGGCCUCAAGCCCUGGGUCUCCAUCGCCCUCUUUCUCCUACGGGAGAGGGCCCUGGGCACGGCCUCUCCCUGGCACCCCUAUCUCGACAUUCUUCCGCCCACUACCAAUUCCACUAUCUUCUGGUCAGAAGAGGAGCUUUCUGAAAUAGAAGGAACUCAGUUAUUGAACACGACAAUGGGUGCUAAAGAGUAUGUGGAAAGUGAAUUUGUCAAAGCAGAAGCGGAAGUGAUACUUCCAAACAAACAUCUCUUUCCUUCAGCUAUAACAUUGCUUGAUUUUCUGUGGGCUUUCGGAAUUCUCAGAUCAAGGGCCUUUUCACGUGGUCGUGGUGAAAAUCUUGCUCUUGUUCCAUUGGCUGAUCUUAUUAACCACAGUUCCAGUAUCACACAAGAGGAUUCUUGUUGGGAGAUUAAAGGAAAGGGCAUCUUUUCUAGGGAACUGAUAUUCUCUUUACGAACACCAGUCUAUGUGAAAUCUGGUGAGCAGGUGCAUAUCCACUACAACAUCGCGAAGAGUAAUGCUGACUUGGCGCUUGAUUAUGGCUUUGUUGAACAGAGGCCAGAUCGGGAUGCAUAUACUUUUACACUAGAGAUUAGUGAAUCUGAUCCAUUUUAUGGAGACAAACUAGACAUUGCAGAGUCAAAUGGUUUAGAUGAAACUGCAUACUUUGAUAUAGCUCUAGGUUGCCCACUACCCCCAUUGAUGCUUCCAUAUUUGCGGUUGGUAGCUCUUGGAGGAACAGAUGCUUUUCUCUUAGAAUCUGUUUUCAGAAAUACAAUUUGGGGUCAUCUGGAAUUGCCGGUGAGUCGUGCCAAUGAGGAAGCCAUUUGCCGUGUCGUCAGACAGGCCUGCAAAUCUGCUCUCUCUGCUUACCACACUACCGUAGAAGAGGAUGAAAAACUUAUGGAAGGGGAUAAUUUGGAUGAAAGACUUCGAAUCGCAGUUUGUAUAAGAGCCGGCGAGAAGAAAGUUCUCCAGCAGAUCGACGAUGCUUUCCGAGAGAGAGAGUCCGAGUUGGAUGUUUUGGAGUAUUAUCAGGAGAGGAGGCUCAAGGAUCUGGGACUGGUUGGGGAGCAGGGUGAAAUCAUCUUCUGGGAAUCAAAGUAGAACACCUGCACACACCUUCUCUCCCAAGAUCUGAUAUCACAUGUUGUACAUGGCGACAUGCAGAAACUGCAGACAGAUGAGCUCGUCUAGACUCUGUAUCGUCCAGAAGCAGUGGUCGCAAGCAUGCUGCCGGCCCCCCAACCGCGAGGUGGAGACCCCUCUGUUGAUCCCUGCUUUCUUCAUACCUGCCUCCAUGAACGUCCAUGACAAGGUAUACUUUUGCUGAACAAGAGAAAGAAAGAUUGUAAUGGGAGAUGAAUUUGCUUGUUCUGUGACAAUUGCAAGGACCAAAGAGACCUUUGUAAGGAUGUGCAAGUCUCGGAAGCUGCGUCAUAGCAUCAGAAACGCUCGUCGUCUGCCAGCUGAAAGCUUUAUCUAAUUGUAUUCAGGUAUUUGCA
RNA transcript from Musa acuminata AAA Group (dessert banana), 2092 nucleotides. It is a transcript of the gene named fructose-bisphosphate aldolase-lysine N-methyltransferase, chloroplastic-like, with no coding region annotated. The record is from RefSeq and is a predicted model, not a curated record. The transcript is spliced from 8 exons. NCBI's taxonomy places the organism in Eukaryota, Viridiplantae, Streptophyta, Magnoliopsida, Zingiberales, Musaceae.